CGCCACGCCGUCGACAGCCCCACCUCUGCAUGCUCCAGGCACGCCACCAGCCGCACCAUACCAGGCGCCGGUGGCACGGCACAAGAGCCGUACCAGGCGCAGACGGCACAAGAGCCGUACCAGGCGCAGACGGCACGUCCCAGGCGCCGGCAGCACGGCCGUCAACAUCCUUCACUCAUCUGCUGCAGCAGCUCCACGAAGAGUGGCGCCAUCCCAACCCCGCCAUUUCCGAGUAGAGCAGCACGCGUCCAGACCGCUAGCUGUUCAUCUGCUGCAGCGAGAUGGAUCGUAGUUGGGUGCAUGGCAGAUUGUUUUCCACUUAACACAUUGAUGGUGUCAAACAAUUCAUGAGCUUCAUUGAAGGAAAAUUCAGUGAGAAUGUUGAAAUUUUGUGCCCUUGUGGUAGAUGCCUUAAUCAGAAGUACCUUUGUCAGCCUGUUGUGAAGAAGCACAUUUUGAUGAAUGGCAUGGACAGUACUUAUACUCGGUGGAUUCAUCAUGGAGAGAGCAUCGGUGUAGAAGCUUUUCAGCAUCCUGUUGGUUUGCAUGACGGUCUGCAUGACUCUAGUGAUGGUUGCAGACAUGAAGAAGAUGACAGUGCAGAUCGUUUGGAAGGGCUUAUAGGAGACCUACACACUGCAGCAGAACAAGAAGGGCAGGAUGGAGAAAAUCAGAAUGGAGAAGAUCAGGAUGGUGAUGUAGAACCUCAUGAGGAGCCUUUCUUUAAAAUAGUGAUGAAAGAGGCAAAGCGUCAGCUGUAUCCUGGUUGUACCAAAAUUUUAAGGUUCUCUUUUGUGGUAAAACUUCUUCAUAUGAAGUCAUUAUACAGGAUAAACAAUUCUGCCUUUACUACAAUAUUGAAGCUAUUGUCUGAAGCAUUCCCUGAUUGCAAUACACUCCCCAAAUCCUAUAAUGAGGCAAAGAAUCUUUUAAAGGAAUUAGGUCUUGGAUAUGAAUCAAUACAUGUGUGCUACAAUAAUUGUGUGCUCUUCAGAAAGGGAUAUGCCAAGCAUGACAAUUGCCCUGUUUGUGGUCUAUCAAGAUGGAAAAAUCCUGAAAGAAAGAAAAUUCCACAAAAAGUGUUGAGGCAUUUUCCAUUGGUCCCUAGGCUAAAGAGGAUGUUUACGAUGAAAGAAGCUUCGGAAAACAUGCAAUGGCACAAGUUAAAGCGGCAGCCUAGUGAGAAGGAAAUGAGCCACCCAGUUGAUGGUGAGGCAUGACAAAAUUUUGACAAGGAAUAUCCAGAUUUUGCAAAAGAUCCAAGAAACCUUAGACUUGGCCUUGCAACUGAUGGGUUCAAUCCUUUUUCAAAAAAGAACACAAGAUAUAGCAUGUGGCAUGUAUUAGUUGUGCCUUACAACCUUCCACCUUUGGCAUGCUUGGAGGAGUCAAACUUCAUGAUGGCUUUGCUUAUUCCAGGUCCUACAUGCCCCGGGAAGGAUUUUGAUGUGUUUUUAGAGCCUCUUGUGGAAGAUUUGCUUGACCUUUGGGCAGGUGUGCGUACCUAUGAUGCUAAUUCUGGCAAAUUGUUUAAUCUUAUUGCUGCAGUUUUAUGGUACAUCCAUGAUUACCCAGCUUUGAGCACUCUUUCUGUGCGAACAACAAAACGCUACUUUGCUUGUACUCAUUGUGACAAACACCCUCUUUCGUACGGCCUAAGGAGAAAAAUUGGGUAUUUUGGACACUUUCGUUUCCUUUCCAAGGGGCAUCGUUUGCGGAGAAACAAUAAAUUUGCCGGUCUUCAUGAAAGCAAUGAUCCACCGGGUAAAUUCUCUAUAGAAGAGCUGCUAGCCGAAUUGAAGAAAGUUAAAGAUGUUAGACCCGGCAAGGCACAAAUAUGUGGGAAAAAGGAAGUGUUCUGACAAGGAAGGAGGGCAUGUGCUAAUUUGGUCCCGGAUGGUUAGUUUAUGGAAGUUGCCAUAUUGGAGUAAAUUGAAGCUAAGACAUAAUCUCGAUGUCAUGCACAUUGAGAAAAACAUAUGUGAGAGCUUGAUAGGAAUAAUCCUCAAUAUAAUUGGCAAGACUAAGGACACAGUUAAAGCUAGGCUUGAUCUAAAAGAUUUGGGAAUCAAAGAGGAGCUGCAAUUAAGAGAGGAUGGAGCUUCAUGUGAGAUGCAUCAUGCUCGAUAUACCUUGUCCGUAGGAAAGAAGAAGGCCUUCUGUGAUUUUAUAUGGGAGGUGAAGUUUCUAGAUGGAUUUGCUUCCAACAUCUCAAGGUGUGUAAAUGCUGAGGGAACCAAGGUACAAGGGCUAAAAACACAUGAUUGUCAUAUUCUUUUGCAAAGAAUAUUACCAGCUACAAUGAGAGGACUUUUGGACAAUGAUAUUUAUGAAGCAAUAGCAGAAUUAGGGAAAUUUUUCAGGGGGUUGUGCAGCAGAACUCUCAACAAAGAUUUGUUGGCUGAAAUGAAGAAAGAAAUCCCUGUAAUAUUGGUGAAGCUUGAGAAAAUAUUUCCCCCUGCUUUCUUUGAUGUGAUGGUGCACCUUCCUGUUCAUUUACCUGAUGAGGCAUUGCUCCGAGGACCUGUGCAAUAUGGGUAGAUGUACCCAAUUGAGAGGCGGUUGUAUACUUUGAAGCGCUAUGUGAGGAAUAGGGCACGACCAGAGGGUUCGAUUGCUGAGGCAUAUAUUGCUGAUGAAUGUCUAACAUUUUGUUCUAGAUACAUGGACGAUGUUGAUACCAGAUUUAAUCGAGAACAAAAAAAACACUGUUUUUUUUUCUAAUGAAGAAGCUUAUGGUGUUGACGUCUUUGGGCAUGGAGUUAAUUUUACUUCUGCACCUGAACUUGUUUAUGCUGAAGAUGACAUUGAUCAAAUGGUGUGGUAUGUGCUAAACAAUUGUAGUCAAGUGGAGAAUUAUGUGGAAAUGUUCAAAGAUGAAUUAAACAGAGAAGGGAUGCCUAUCAGAGCAAGAACCCUGCAGCAAGGAUUUCAGAUUUGGUUUAGGAACCAUGUUAGUGUUCAUAGGAACAGAGUUUGAAUGUUUUUUGUUUACCACAUAUUUUUCUCUGGAUUGUAAUAUAUGUGUAUUUCAUGUGGCAGAUCAUGAGGUUGUGAAAUGCAAAUAAAGAAGAGGUAGAUGAUCUUUUUUC
Molecule: long non-coding RNA, 3092 nt
Organism: Panicum virgatum (switchgrass)
Lineage: Eukaryota; Viridiplantae; Streptophyta; Magnoliopsida; Poales; Poaceae
Exons: 3
Source: RefSeq, a predicted model, not a curated record